Molecule: long non-coding RNA, 4905 nt
Filed under: Hermetia illucens (black soldier fly)
Lineage: Eukaryota; Metazoa; Arthropoda; Insecta; Diptera; Stratiomyidae
Description: uncharacterized LOC119647958, transcript variant X2
Source: RNAcentral
GUUUCCGAGUGAUGGUGAAUGGGCCUAUAGGGCCCAUUCUUUCACGUAAACCUUGCAACGUACUAACUUUUAAGUCACGUAGUCGCGUAAAAGUAUAGGCCCAUUCACCGUCACUCGAAAACCUCGCGGUGUCGACGGAGGGCGUACCGUUUGAGAUUGGCAUCGAACCAUGAGCAUUAUGUCAGUUUUUGAUCGCCUUCGCAUUGUGUCUUAAAAACACGGGAACGAAAUCUCAAAUCAGCUGAGAAACAAACGAAAUAUUUCAUGAAAUCACAUUGCAAACAAUACAUACAAUUACAUAAAAUAUUUCCUAAAUAAUUAGCUCCUCAAAAUUCCGUUUUGGCAGCCAAUGGAACAACUUUUAUCGCGCUCGUCGUGCGUGCACACCGGAUGGCUAGCCAGUGAUAUCGACACGCAGCCAUAACAGGAUCUUGUAGUUCCCAUAUCCUAAACUCUUAUCCUGGAUUUGCGAUGCGCAUAAUGAGAUGUCGGUUUACGUAUUGCACUUAUUGUAAACCGGUCGUAAGAGUCAAGGAAAUGCCAGCUCCUACAUCAUAUUUGUCCUCUAGUGAGGUGAAUUCACAGCCAAUCACAGGCAAGCGGAACGUAACGAGAGUAAUCUCUUAAUUAGCUUGGAAGUUAGAGUCUAAAUAGUUUUCAUAACUUGGGGCCAAAAGGUAAUCAAGCAGAAUGUUCAUGUAAAAGUCAAUGAUAGUGAAGCGAUAGUGAAAUCACUUAAAUGGAUCAAUCGAAUCAAUUAGGUCAAAGUGUGGAAUGAAAUCUUCAUCUCAAAGAUUAUUGGAAUCAAUUAAUAGAAAGUGAUGGGAGGAAUGAUUAUUCAAAGAUUUUACGAUCACUUCAUUGGAUCAAGAGCAGUCUAAAAAUGUGAGGAACGAUGGAUGACGUAACUUGCCCUUCCAUAAUGGGAAUCGCGUCCUCGUGAUCCUCAUUGAUAUCUACCAUGAUAUUUGCAUUGUUUAUCUUUGUUUUACAACAAAAGUAUAUUAUUGGCAAAAUAAUCAAUAUUGCGGUAAUGAUGGCAAUAUCUGUUAUAAUGCUUGUCCAGGUAAUUGUUUUGGAUUUAAAAUUUAUCUCUUCUAGGUUUUCCAAAUGUUUAUGAUCAACAUAUUACAAAGUCAAAUUACUAUAUUCCCCACAGCUUAUAUUCCUAAUUACAUUGGGUAGUAUGACGUUAUUUUCAAUGUAGUAUAUUUGAUUCUUAAACGUAAGGUUAUUUAUAUUUAUUUGAGAAUUUGUGUAUUUAAUCAAAUUAUGUCGUGGUAAUAUAAUAUUUUGGUCUUUAUCAUUUGAAUUUUUUGUAACAAUGAUAUUUUUCAUUUAUUUGUCCGACUUACUUGAAGGAGCGAUCUUUCCAUUCCCUAAGUGGGGUGAACUCAGACCAAAAACGGAUCGAUGAAUGAUUUCGAUGGCAACGCAUGCUAAACACGUCAAUGGUCUUUGGCAACCAUUUAUCAAUUUAUAUUUGUCGAACAGAUGGCUGUGUGCUGGAGAGCUCUUUGCUGAGACGAAGGGAUUUAUGUGUGCUAUUCGGGUCGGCGUGGUCGCCACCCGAGUUUAUGAAAAACGGGUGGCGAACGACCAAUGCAGAAUAUAUGGUUCGGCACUGGAGACUUUGGACCAUCUUAUUUCUGGUUGCACUAUAAUGGCGGCGGUGCAAUACACAAUGCUGCAUGUAAAGUGAUUAACCAAAGCUUUGCAUACAAACAUGGAAUGAUGACGGGAACAUGUCCGGUUUACUGAUAUGAGCCCCAGGCACUACCUAAUCGUCCUGUUUACAGUAUGUAUUGUUAAAACAAACCCGAUGUCCUGUUAGUUCAGAGACGGGUCGUUCUGCGCACAUUAUUGAUAUUGCUAUACCCAAAAACAGCAACAUUGAACGGAAGUACGUGGAGAAUACGGUGAACUAUGAGGCACUUGUUUGGAAAUCAAAGAAAUUUGGCGUCUCGAGCGGUUGGUUGUAGAUGCCAUAAUGCAUGUAUUGUACCAAAAUCCCUCAUGGCUUCCUCUGAUGUCCUGGAACUAUGCAAAAAUAUACCAUUCCACAUUCAUGCUCAAGAUUGCGGGGAGUUCUCGACGGAUUCUUCCAUACACCUACCACCGGCCACCACCACCAGCGCUCCUUUAUCUUUGAAGUAGGUGGGAUGGUCAGAGCCUAAAUGCUUGGUACUUAGUGGCAGUAUUAUAUGAAAUCCGUAACUUGCCUAGAUUGUGAAACCUCUAGAAAAUAAAUAAAUAAUGAGAAGAGUCUUUUUAUAGUUAUUUGUUUUUCCAAGUUAGAAGUGGUAUCACGAAUUUUUUUAAUCCACUAAUGUGAAGCAGAUAAGAAACUAGCGUUGAUCUUAUUCAACCACUUCUUGCCCAUCGCUGUCGAGCACUUAUCAAAUUAGUGAAGUUAGUUAUGUCCGCCAAUCUUCUCGCAACAAUAUGGCUGCUAGCUGUGAAUAUCAAAUUAAAUCUGUGUUUUCGCGUCUGCAACAUCAAGAUAAUGGUAAUCUUUUACAUAAAAUGUGGCUAUUACUGCAAAUAUCAUAAUUCAAAUUAAAUUAAAAUCUUACUAGCCGGGUGUUAAAGUUGCUUCUUUUGGGUCAAAUUGGUACCCCUUAGGAGAUGUCAACGGAUAUCCACUACUAGUUAUGUAGAAAUGAAAGCAUCGUAUACCCAAACAUUAUUACUUAAAAUAUCAACAAGAUCAUUCAUACCUGACGUACCGAGCUUCCCGUUUCCGACUUGUUCAACAUUCAGCACAAAAUCGAAUAUUUCAAGCUCGCAAUAACCAGUUUAUUAUAUUAUACAAUAAAUCGCGGGUCAAUUUCGGGCAAUUAUAAUUAUUAAUAUUAUUUCUUACCACAUUAAUAACAUAAAUGAGUAGAGUGCUUUUAUAAUACUACUACCUGUGAAUGCAAAAUUAAAGCUAUGAACGUGACAACACUUUUCACAUGUGCAACAUCAAAUAUUACCAUUAUCUUUUACAUUGCUAUUACUGCAAAUAUUAAGAUUGAAAUUAUCUGAGACGAUUGCAAAUGACGUCGAAACUCCAACAGUUGAAUAGUGAUAAACACUUGUUUCAGUAGAACCAUUUUUACUUUCAUUAUAUUCUUUCAAGUACUUCUUCGGGAUCGCGAUGAAUUUUUUGAGGCAAGUCGACUGAUAUCAACUAACACUGUUUAUACGAUCCGGAUAAAAUAAGUUUGUAUAUUUCAUAUGAAGCAUUUGUCGGAUAUGAAGCUCCUCACGGCAUUGUUAAAAGCUUUCUUCCGUUAAUUUCACAAUUAUGCCGAAUUCAACUUCUGGGAAUAUGACUCGAUGCCACAAGUUUAUACAACAAACCGGAGGGAAAACGUUAUUAUGAUGAAUAUUAUCCCAAUAGAUUUGUAUAACGAACUUGAAACAGGAUAUAUAUGAAGAUAAAUUUGUGUAAUCGUUAAUUAGUUUGAAGAUUCCAGAAAACCAAACGAAUUCAGAAAUUCAAGAAAAACACAGCCCGACGUAUUAUUCAUUGUAACGGUAUUCGAAUCCACGAAACACUUUCAAUUGCUGGAUUUUUAAAACCAAAGUGCAAUUUGUCGUAGAGCACCUUUAAUAAGUUCUCUCAAAAAGUUUCUUUCCUAUUUCCCACCAUACAAUAAACAACUCCAUGCAUACAACCACAUACACAUGUUGUGAUUGGCUAUUGAAUUCACCUCACUAAACGGAAACGUUUUUAAGUCCAAUGCGAAGGCGAUUAAAAACUGACAUAAUGCUCGUGGUUCGAUGCAAAUCUCAAACGGUACGCCCUCCGUCCACACCGCAAGGUUUCCGAGUGAUGGUGAAUGGGCCUAUAGGGCCCAUUCUUUCACGUAAACCUUGCAACGUACUAACUUUUAACUUUUAAGUCACCACAUUAAGUCAUUAGGAAAUAUGUGUUGUAUAUUUCCCUGUCGACUCAUUAGUAAAUAAGACGUAGUAUUUAAGGUGGUGUAGAAACGGAGAUCAGCAGUUCCUCGAGUACUACCAGAGCGUAAGCACUCUGGCUCUCGUGAAUGAAUAAAAAAGGAUAAAACAAAUAUCGUUUCAUUUGUUAACCCAUUUGUCAACUGUUACUUGUUAACUGGCGCCCAACAAAGGAUUUGAACCUAUCCUAUUCCUUGAUUAAUUUUUUCACGGCAAAGUUAUAGCCGGUAUAAGAGAGAGUGUAUAGCAGUGAUAAGUGGCAUUCUGGCGAGCAAUUAGAGACAGUUAAGUGUUAGUUAUAGUUACCUGUGAAAAUAUGUCGGUGCUAAUCCUAUGCCAUUACUGACCUUAUAAUCCGAAUCACUACGGAGAUUGUAUCUAAAAUGCAAUUUGAAGUGCAAGGGCAAAUCAAUGCAUUAGCCAUUGAAAGUCAAAAGAUUUCAGCGGAAGCAGAUGCCGCUUUAGAAACGCGAUUUCAGUUUGCACUCCAAUCGCAAAAAAAUGAAUUAUCUUCCCAAUUUCAUUCUGCUAUUCCUUCUAAAGUAACUGUGUAACUAGUAGUGGAUAUCCGCUGACAUCUCCUAAGGGGUACCAAUUUGACCCAAAAGAAGCAACUUUAACACCCGGCAGGUUUGUUAAUAAUAGUAAGAUUUUAAUUUAAUUUGAAUUAUGAUAUUUGCAGUAAUAACCACAUUUUAUGUAAAAGAUUACCAUUAUCUUGAUGUUGCAGACGCGAAAACACAGAUUUAAUUUGAUAUUCACGGCUAGCAGCCAUAUUGUUGCGAGAAGGUUGGCGGACAUAACUAACUUCACUAAUUUGAUAAGCGCUCGACAGCGAUGGGCAAGAAGUGGUUGAAUAAGAUCAACGCUAGUUUCUUAUCUGUUUGACAUUAGUGGAUUAACAAAAUUCAUGAUACUGCUUCUAACUUGCAAAAACAAAUAACUAUAAAAAGA